This 29-nucleotide non-coding RNA is filed under the name Homo sapiens (human). The record is from RNAcentral. Lineage: Eukaryota; Metazoa; Chordata; Mammalia; Primates; Hominidae.
GUCUGAAGGAAGGCCUGACGGUGCAAGAA